GGCCAUGCUGUAGCAGGCGAGUGAUAACAGGUUUAAUCUUUUUAAAGCGUGCUGUGGGAUGGGAUAUUGGCAUUGAGUGGGGUAAGGGUGAUUAGGUUUUAAUGAGAUGGUAAGGGGUGCAUGAUUGGUAGCCAAGGAGGGAGUAGAGGUAUCUUAUACUUGUGGGUUAAGGUGGGGGGAUACAAGAGGAGGACGCAAAGGAGGCUUUGAAUUGGGAAGAAGGGUGGCAAUGAGAUACAGCUGUAGUCCAGGAAUAGUCAGGGAAGCAGAUAAUUUAGUUAAAGUGUCUCAGCCUAAUAAGGGAACUGGGCAGGUGGGGAUAAUGAAAAAGGAGUGCUUAAAAGAGUAUUGUCUAAGUUGGCACCAGAGUUGGGGAGUUUUAGGAGGUUUAGAAGCCUGGCCGUCAAUACCCACAACAGUUAUGGAGGCAAGGGAAACAGGUCCUUGAAAAGAAGAUAAUGUGGAGUGGGUAGCCUCCGUAUUGAUUAAGAAGGGGACGGGCUUACCUUCCACCGUGAGAGUUACCUGAAGCUCGGCGUCCGUGAUGGUCUAGGGGGCUUCCAAGGUGAUUGGGCAGUGUCAUCUUCAGCCGCUAAGCCGAGAAGAUCUGGGAAGGAGUCAGUCAGCCUUGGGCCAGAGUUCCAGGGGUUCUGGGAGUGGCUGUCAGGUAGAAGAGAGAAAGGGAAAACACAAAGACCAAGCUGGGAGACCAAACACUGUCAAGGUGGCAUUUUGCCAACAUGCCACAAAAGCAAGCACAGAGAGACGCCAGAGAGUGAGCAGUUGGCUGGAGUGGAGAAAACACCAGGAAAUGGAAGGAAAAUGGUGAGAAAUGAGGCAGAAGCCAAGUGGAUGGAGAAAUAUCAAGAUGACAUGCACAUUCUAACGACAAGCCUGCAGCCAUAAAAUGCAGUGUACCAAGUGGCCUCCUUCAUUGCCUGCAUUUUGAAUGCAGUCAGGCUGCACAGUGGAAUGGAAAUCCCUGGCCAAGAUAUACCUCUUAAAAGAAAAUAAUCUCUUCCUCUGUGUGUAUGCCUGCGUCUACAUAUGUAUUGUGGGGACCAGAAUAUACCACCCCAAAAUAUAAAUGACUGUUGAACUGAAGGCAAUUAAGAAGAAGUAGGUACAGGAAAGAGCUCUCCUCUCCCUUUAUUUGCCUAAAAGUAGGACACAGGCUUAUAAGGACAAAAGGAAUCCUGCCCUGCCUUCUUCUCCUAUGGGAGAACAAAGGUUAACCACGGAAGACAACCUUGGGCACUGAUGACCCUGGAGAUGAUACCAGAGGCAUCUCCACGAGCAAGCUUCCCUAACUCGCCUUUAUUUACCAUUAUGUGUCUUCCUGCAAGCUGCUGCCCUGGAGAACCCAAGUCCUUUUCUUUGUCUUGUUACUUCCUUAAAAAUGUACUGUUCUUUGUUAAAAAUGCUAUACAAGCCAGAAUUCAAAGCCAUCCCUUUGAGGACUACUCAUUCCCUUGGCGUCUUUCAUGUACCUAUGAAAUAUACACAUUAAUAAACUUCCAUUUGUUUUUCUCUCA
RNAcentral lists this long non-coding RNA (1535 nucleotides) under Homo sapiens (human). RNAcentral describes it as "HSALNT0404285". Lineage: Eukaryota; Metazoa; Chordata; Mammalia; Primates; Hominidae. The record is from RNAcentral.